CACCAAUCAAGCCUCGCUUGGUCUUGGGCGUCCGCGGCUCCGUCGCGCGCCCCAAUGUCUCCGGCUGAGCCGUCCGUCUCUAAGCGUUGUGAUUUAUCAAGCCGCUUGCGAGGCCGGGCCGGCUUGUUCGCCGUAAAACCCCCCAUUUUUACA
Molecule: unclassified non-coding RNA, 153 nt
Filed under: uncultured Capnodiales
Lineage: Eukaryota; Fungi; Ascomycota; Dothideomycetes; Capnodiales
Description: sequence contains ITS2
Source: RNAcentral